GUGCGGGGUGCUAUAAUGCAGUAGAACGCUGAAGACUUUAGCUUGCUAAAGUUGGAAGAGUUGCGAACGGGUGAGUAACGCGUAGGUAACCUGCCUACUAGCGGGGGAUAACUAUUGGAAACGAUAGCUAAUACCGCAUAACAGCAUUUAACACAUGUUAGAUGCUUGAAAGGAGCAAUUGCUUCACUAGUAGAUGGACCUGCGUUGUAUUAGCUAGUUGGUGAGGUAACGGCUCACCAAGGCGACGAUACAUAGCCGACCUGAGAGGGUGAUCGGCCACACUGGGACUGAGACACGGCCCAGACUCCUACGGGAGGCAGCAGUAGGGAAUCUUCGGCAAUGGGGGCAACCCUGACCGAGCAACGCCGCGUGAGUGAAGAAGGUUUUCGGAUCGUAAAGCUCUGUUGUAAGAGAAGAACGUGUGUGAGAGUGGAAAGUUCACACAGUGACGGUAACUUACCAGAAAGGGACGGCUAACUACGUGCCAGCAGCCGCGGUAAUACGUAGGUCCCGAGCGUUGUCCGGAUUUAUUGGGCGUAAAGCGAGCGCAGGCGGUUUAAUAAGUCUGAAGUUAAAGGCAGUGGCUUAACCAUUGUUCGCUUUGGAAACUGUUAGACUUGAGUGCAGAAGGGGAGAGUGGAAUUCCAUGUGUAGCGGUGAAAUGCGUAGAUAUAUGGAGGAACACCGGUGGCGAAAGCGGCUCUCUGGUCUGUAACUGACGCUGAGGCUCGAAAGCGUGGGGAGCAAACAGGAUUAGAUACCCUGGUAGUCCACGCCGUAAACGAUGAGUGCUAGGUGUUAGGCCCUUUCCGGGGCUUAGUGCCGCAGCUAACGCAUUAAGCACUCCGCCUGGGGAGUACGACCGCAAGGUUGAAACUCAAAGGAAUUGACGGGGGCCCGCACAAGCGGUGGAGCAUGUGGGUUAAUUCCAAGCAACGCGAAGAACCUUACCAGGGCUUGGCAUCCCGAUGGUAUUCCAAGAGAUAAGAAAUUUCU
RNAcentral lists this ribosomal RNA (996 nucleotides) under Streptococcus sp. Its description in RNAcentral is "bacterial SSU rRNA". It matches the Rfam family "Bacterial small subunit ribosomal RNA", at positions 37 to 1018 of the family's 1533-position model. Lineage: Bacteria; Bacillati; Bacillota; Bacilli; Lactobacillales; Streptococcaceae. The record is from RNAcentral.